Molecule: small nuclear RNA, 111 nt
Filed under: Erinaceus europaeus (western European hedgehog)
Lineage: Eukaryota; Metazoa; Chordata; Mammalia; Eulipotyphla; Erinaceidae
Description: U4 spliceosomal RNA
Rfam family: U4 spliceosomal RNA
About the family: U4 small nuclear RNA (U4 snRNA) is a component of the major U2-dependent spliceosome.
Source: Rfam by way of RNAcentral
AGCUUUACACAGUAGCAGUAUCGUAGCCAAUGAGGUUUAUCUGAGGCGUGAUUAUUGCUAAUUGAAAACUUUUCCCAAACAAAAUUACAUAUCAACAGGGGUAUAAUUUCA